This 1329-nucleotide ribosomal RNA is filed under the name Triticum aestivum (bread wheat). RNAcentral describes it as "partial small subunit ribosomal RNA". Lineage: Eukaryota; Viridiplantae; Streptophyta; Magnoliopsida; Poales; Poaceae. The record is from RNAcentral.
AUGGCGGCACACAAGCGGCUCCACGACGGCUUCGAGCAGGACCCCGACCAGCCCGAGAAGAAGCGGAUGGAGCGGUCGGUCUCCUUCUCCACGGUGAUCCGGGAGGCCAUGGUGAUGAAGCAGGUGCAGAGUGUGUUCCUGGUGCUGGAGCCUCUCCUGCGCCGAGUGGUGCAGGAGGAGAUCCAGGCGGGGCUGGUGCGCAGCCCGCGGUACAUCGAGAGGUCCUCGCCGGAGACGCCGCCGGCGGCGGAGCGGCCCGCGUGGAGGCUGGCGUUCCUGCGCCCGCCGAUGCUACCGAUCUUCACCGGCAGCAAGAUCGAGGACGCAAACGGCGAGCCACUCCAGGUCGUCCUCGUCGCCGCGGUCACCGGGUCGGUCUGCGGCGCUCUCCCGCAGUUCAUGCGCGUCGAGCUGGUGCCGCUCUUCGGGGACUUCCCUCCGGACGGCCGCGAGGACUGGACGACCGGCGAGUUCGCCCGGGGCGUCGUCAAGGAGCGCUCGGGGAAGCGCCCGCUCCUUACCGGCGACGUCGGCCUCACCAUGCGCGACGGGCGCGCCGUCGUCAGCGACCUCCAGUUCACCGACAACUCCUCCUGGGUCCGCUGCCGCAAGUUCCGCAUCGGCGCGCGUGUGGUGCCGGGAAGCUACGAGGGCGGCAGGGUCGCCGAGGCCAUGACCGACGCCUUCAACGUCCGCGAUCACCGCGGCGAACUGUACCGGAAGCACUACCCGCCGGCGCUCACCGACGACGUGUGGCGGCUGGAGAAGAUCGGCAAGGAGGGGGCCUUCCACCGGAAGCUGCGGCAGAGCGGCGUGGAGACCGUGCAGGAGUUCGUGCGGAUGCUGAACGUGAAGCCGGACGUGCUGCGCGCGAUCAUGGGCGACGGCAUGACGGACCGCAUGUGGGAGGUGACCACGAGCCACGCCAGGACGUGCGACGCCGGCGACAAGGUGUACGCGUACGCCGGGCAGCACGGCGCCACCGUCUACGUCAACUCCCUCUUCCAGCUGGUCAGGCUCGAGUUCGCCGGCGUCCAGUGCGCGGCGCAGCACCUCACCAGGGUCCAGAAGGCGUACGUGCAGCAGCUGUACGUGGAGGCGUUCGAGCAGCGGCACAGCCUCCAGGAGGCCGAGCCCCUGCCCGCCGCCAUGCUCCUCCACGCCAGCAGCAGCAGCAACAGCCUCCCAAUGCUGCAGAACGCAGCGCCGGUCGCGCCGCCGCCGCUUCCGGCGACGCCGCUCUGGUUCCAGAGCAACCAGGAGCUGGACCUCCAGAUCGUCGACGAGCUCCCCGACCAGAAUGGCUGCUUCGGCUUCCAGAUGUACUGA